GGCUCCAUAGCCAAGUGGUAAGGCAACGGUCUGCAACACCGUGAGCACCAGUUCAAAUCUGGUUGGAGCCUCCA
Molecule: transfer RNA, 74 nt
Filed under: Acholeplasmataceae bacterium
Lineage: Bacteria; Bacillati; Mycoplasmatota; Mollicutes; Acholeplasmatales; Acholeplasmataceae
Also listed under: 2 other names
Description: tRNA-Cys
Rfam family: tRNA
About the family: Transfer RNA (tRNA) molecules are approximately 80 nucleotides in length. Their secondary structure includes four short double-helical elements and three loops (D, anti-codon, and T loops). Further hydrogen bonds mediate the characteristic L-shaped molecular structure. tRNAs have two regions of fundamental functional importance: the anti-codon, which is responsible for specific mRNA codon recognition, and the 3' end, to which the tRNAs corresponding amino acid is attached (by aminoacyl-tRNA synthetases). tRNAs cope with the degeneracy of the genetic code in two manners: having more than one tRNA (with a specific anti-codon) for a particular amino acid; and 'wobble' base-pairing, i.e. permitting non-standard base-pairing at the 3rd anti-codon position.
Source: RNAcentral